RNAcentral lists this ribosomal RNA (550 nucleotides) under uncultured bacterium. Its description in RNAcentral is "bacterial SSU rRNA". It matches the Rfam family "Bacterial small subunit ribosomal RNA", at positions 28 to 623 of the family's 1533-position model. The record is from RNAcentral.
AACGAAGCUGGCGGCAGGCUUAACAUAUGCAAGUCGAGCGGGCGUAGCAAUACGUCAGCGGCAGACGGGUGAGUAACGCGUGGGAACAUACCUUUUGGUUCGGAACAACACAGGGAAACUUGUGCUAAUACCGGAUAAGCCCUUACGGGGAAAGAUUUAUCGCCGAAAGAUUGGCCCGCGUCUGAUUAGCUAGUUGGUGAGGUAACGGCUCACCAAGGCGACGAUCAGUAGCUGGUCUGAGAGGAUGAUCAGCCACAUUGGGACUGAGACACGGCCCAAACUCCUACGGGAGGCAGCAGUGGGGAAUAUUGGACAAUGGGCGCAAGCCUGAUCCAGCCAUGCCGCGUGAGUGAUGAAGGCCCUAGGGUUGUAAAGCUCUUUUGUGCGGGAAGAUAAUGACGGUACCGCAAGAAUAAGCCCCGGCUAACUUCGUGCCGGCAGCCGCGGUAAUACGAAGGGGGCUAGCGUUGCUCGGAAUCACUGGGCGUAAAGGGUGCGUAGGCGGGUCUUUAAGUCAGGGGUGAAAUCCUGGAGCUCAACUCCAGAACUG